This is a long non-coding RNA of Rosa rugosa (rugosa rose), 1929 nucleotides long. RefSeq lists it as uncharacterized. The transcript has 4 exons. Lineage: Eukaryota; Viridiplantae; Streptophyta; Magnoliopsida; Rosales; Rosaceae. The record is from RefSeq and is a predicted model, not a curated record.
UAUUACUCUGUCAAAUUACAUACAUAGCCUUACUUCUUCAGCAUUGGAGAGGCAUAGGCUGCGUUUUGGGGGGGGGGGGGGGGGGCCUUUUUUGCUCCCCCGCUUAUAAGCACCUCAACCGUUUCCGUUUGGUAAACCAGCUUCUGGCCGACUUUUUCAAGAAGCCACCGCUUCUUUGGUCGAAAAGCGAAAGCCGCCAACCCCUUGCUUUUAGAAGCGGGCAACGAUUUAUUUUUCUCACUGUAGCGGUAUAUACUGUAGUUUAAUGAAAUUUUUGAAAUACCGGGAUGUAUUAUCCUCUCUUCCUUUCAGCAAUUACACAAUGCCAUGAAACCCUUCUCUUCCGUGUUCAAAGUCGAAGUGAGAGAGCUGCACCGCAGUGAACACAAACGCACAAGCCAUCUCAUCCGUGUUCGAAAUCGAAGCCUCAAUCCUUGAUUGCCCCAGCUACUUGGCAAUUUGAUUCACGGUGAGAUGGGAUGAAAAUUCAACCAUACCUCGUCCAGAGAGAGUUUCAUCUUGGAAAAUAGAGCCUACUCUCUGCACUAAAUCCUCUUCCCAUGCCACUACCAAAGAGGCCGCGCCCAAACAUGGUUCCCUCUUCUCCAGACUCUUCGGUUCUCACAAGGGAAGUAGGAUCAUCUAAAGUAACGGUAGACCCUGUACUACAAGGAUGUGGGUAUUCAAGGGUCUUGCAAGGUCAAGAAUUCUCGACCUUGCGAGGCAAUUUUGUGGAGAGUGAGUCUGAUACAGCUGAAAAGUCUACUGCAUGGCCAGCUUCGGUUGAUGAUGAGAGGAUUGAUGCAGUGUCUGGUUCAAGAAGAUUUGGUUCCAGUGCAGAUAACUGGAUGCCCUCAGGGAGACAUGAGCCAACCUACACAGAUUUGCUAUCAGGCUUUGGGACUAAUGGUGACGCGUCACAUGGUAUCUGUCAGCCCUUUGUUGAUCAAGCAGUAGCAUCUGCUAAUUCAAUGAGAAAGCAUUCACUGGAUCAGGAAGGCAAGUUUAACUUGAAUUCAUGGUCCAUGUUACCCUCAUCGCUGUCACUUAGUUUGGACUCUAAUAAGAAGGUUCCUAUUGUAAUGCAUCUUACCAAGCCCAACAGAAUGUUAGAUAUAGUGGAUUGAAUGAUCAUUCUGUUAACCAUGUUCAUAGAGUUGAGCAACCUCAAGGAAAUUGGAUGAUGCCUCCACCACCCCCAUCUCAUUUUGAGAGUCAAGCGAAUGCACGGGAAGUCAUGCCAAAGCAUAUGUCACUACUGAAACAUGAGCCUGUUAAACCUAAAGAUGGAAGCUGCAAGCUCUUUGGCAUUCCCCUCAUAACACCAGAAACUUCAUCAUAGAGAACUGGACUGAAUAAAUCAGCUCGUCAUAACCAAGCACUUACCUUGGAGUCUGACCAGAAGUUGGAAAAGUCAAGGGGACCAAAAUCAGUGGAUAAUUUAUUAGCUGUUAAUGAGUCGGAUAAACAAACUUCUCAGCAGCAUGCCAGAGAUGUUCAGGGUAAAGCACAAGGCUCUUCAACUAGGAGUUGCACAAAGAUUUGUGUUCUUUCCAAUUUUGGACCUGAAACUGUUGAGGAUGCUAGCUAAUGAAGGUGCUGCAGUGUUGUGUUCCUUGCAAUCUCUGACCUGAAACUGUUGAGGAAGCUAGCUAAUGAAGGUGCUACAAUGUUGGGGUUGCCUUGACUAGCUAAUGAAGGUGCUACAAUGUUGGGGUUACAUUUUGUCCGCAGUGAAGAAAGAGAAGGUGAUGGCCGGGUCAAGCGGUGGGAUAGAGAUGGAUGUUGAUGUAGAAGAAGAAUAUCAUGGUCAUGGUGCAUAAGAAAUGGAAACAAUAAGAAAUAACAUUACUCUAAGUUUGAUGAGUGUGCGUAAUAACAUGAACAUUUGAAUAUGUUAUGAUAUUUUUUGUGGUUACUUGAUGCUUA